ACUCCGUUGCAGGCUGCAGUGAAAGCAGACUUCCUUGAUGAGUCGGGGAAGUGGAUGAUAUCCCCGAGACCCUGGUGGCUAACCCUGGCAUGCUGUAGUAUCUUUUCAAGAUGAUUGCCUUCAACAAGGGAGAAAAAAAAUUCUUCCCUGUGGAAUUCUGAGCACAAGGAAGACUGGCUGAGGGGAGAGUCCGUAGGGGGAGAGGCCUUGCAGGGCAUGCCCACCGGCUUCCUGACCUGCCUGCCCCCACUGGCUCUGCCCUGGGCAACUCUGCCUGCUCCAGCCCUGCAGCCGAAAGGGCCACAGGGAUUCACCCAAGAACUUGCCCCAUGCCUGGAUGAGAAGCCUCAGUGAUCCCUGAUGAUGUGGCCAUGAGUUCAGGUACAGUCUCUCUCCACCUCCACCCCCAAAUUUUGGAGAGUGAUUUCCAGGUCUCUUCUUUUCUCUAAAAAGUAAUAAUAAGGCAUUCUCGCUUGGGGAAAAAAUGAUUAAAUUUCAAAUUACUCUGCUUGCCAGAUAAGAUUGAAAUCUCUGCAUCCCAGCAGGCCGGAGACCUGUUUUGCACACAGGAAGCUCCAACAGCAACUUAUUUGCCACGUAGCGGGUUGACUGAAAUGGAGCAGCGUGUUUAAAACUGCAUUAAGGGCGGCAAACACGGUAAUGAGGGCAUUUGUUAUACUGUAAGGAGGUUUCCAGAACAUGGAAAUUACCAACAUGGCGAUUAUGAUUGUGAACUCGGUGAGGGAAAUCAAAUCCAUCCACCGCCCCUCUUCUCCUCCCAUUAAAAGGCAGAGAGUGAAUAGGAACAAGAGGCCUUUCAGGGUCUUUGGGAGGGAGGAGUCCUGGAAAGUUAUUAAACACUUUAAUAAUGCGGGGAGUUGUGGCUUCAGCUCAGGUUUAUGGGGGCUUUGAUCAAAUCCAGCCUCACAGCAGGGCCUGGUUCCCCAGGGAGACCCAGGGGAGAAAAACCACAAGGCAGGAAAAGGCUGGCUGAGACCAGCCUCAGAUUUCAAAGCUCCGUGCAGAGGACGUAUUGUAACUGGCUGGUGGUUCCAGUUUUCUUCCAAAUGGCUUGAGGGCAGGGCCCAGUGUCUCUUUGCCAUUCAGACUUGUCACCAAACUC
RNAcentral lists this long non-coding RNA (1123 nucleotides) under Homo sapiens (human). Its description in RNAcentral is "non-protein coding lnc-RPLP1-7:2". Lineage: Eukaryota; Metazoa; Chordata; Mammalia; Primates; Hominidae. The record is from RNAcentral.